GACGAACGCUGGCGGCGUGCUUAACACAUGCAAGUCGAACGGAAAGGCCCUGCUUUUGUGGGGUGCUCGAGUGGCGAACGGGUGAGUAACACGUGAGUAACCUGCCCUUGACUUUGGGAUAACUUCAGGAAACUGGGGCUAAUACCGGAUAGGAGCUCCUGCUGCAUGGUGGGGGUUGGAAAGUUUCGGCGGUUGGGGAUGGACUCGCGGCUUAUCAGCUUGCUGGUGGGGUAGUGGCUUACCAAGGCUUUGACGGGUAGCCGGCCUGAGAGGGUGACCGGCCACAUUGGGACUGAGAUACGGCCCAGACUCCUACGGGAGGCAGCAGUGGGGAAUAUUGCACAAUGGGCGGAAGCCUGAUGCAGCAACGCCGCGUGCGGGAUGACGGCCUUCGGGUUGUAAACCGCUUUCGCCUGUGACGAAGCGUGAGUGACGGUAAUGGGUAAAGAAGCACCGGCUAACUACGUGCCAGCAGCCGCGGUGAUACGUAGGGUGCGAGCGUUGUCCGGAUUUAUUGGGCGUAAAGGGCUCGUAGGUGGUUGAUCGCGUCGGAAGUGUAAUCUUGGGGCUUAACCCUGAGCGUGCUUUCGAUACGGGUUGACUUGAGGAAGGUAGGGGAGAAUGGAAUUCCUGGUGGAGCGGUGGAAUGCGCAGAUAUCAGGAGGAACACCAGUGGCGAAGGCGGUUCUCUGGGCCUUUCCUGACGCUGAGGAGCGAAAGCGUGGGGAGCGAACAGGCUUAGAUACCCUGGUAGUCCACGCUGUAGACGGUGGGUACUAGGUGUGGGGUCCAUUCCACGGGUUCCGUGCCGUAGCUAACGCUUUAAGUACCCCGCCUGGGGAGUACGGCCGCAAGGCUAAAACUCAAAGGAAUUGACGGGGCCCCGCACAAGCGGCGGAGCAUGCGGAUUAAUUCGAUGCAACGCGUAGAACCUUACCUGGGUUUGACAUGGAUCGGGAGUGCUCAGAGAUGGGUGUGCCUCUUUUGGGGUCGGUUCACAGGUGGUGCAUGCCUGUCGUCAGCUCGUGUCGUGAGAUGUUGGGUUAAGUCCCGCAACGAGCGCAACCCUUGUUCACUGUUGCCAGCACGUUAUGGUGGGGACUCAGUGGAGACCGCCGGGGUCAACUCGGAGGAAGGUGGGGAUGACGUCAAGUCCUCAUGCCCCUUAUGUCCAGGGCUUCACGCAUGCUACAAUGGCUGGUACAGAGAGUGGCGAGCCUGUGAGGGUGAGCGAAUCUCGGAAAGCCGGUCUCAGUUCGGAUUGGGGUCUGCAACUCGACCUCAUGAAGUCGGAGUCGCUAGUAAUCGCAGAUCAGCAACGCUGCGGUGAAUACGUUCCCGGG
This 1343-nucleotide ribosomal RNA is filed under the name uncultured bacterium. Its description in RNAcentral is "16S ribosomal RNA". It matches the Rfam family "Bacterial small subunit ribosomal RNA", at positions 28 to 1378 of the family's 1533-position model. The record is from RNAcentral.